CUUUUCGCGACCCCAUUUUGGGUCGCGACCCAUAGUUUGAAUACCACUGUAUUAGUAGGUUGAUGUGGCUGCCACGUAAUUAUGGUCCAGUUGGAUUGAAGAUAUAUCUUCUGUAUGCAUUAUUGUUGUUUGGUCAACUGAAAUAAUACAAUAAUUAUUUAAAAAAGUUUUUCUUAAAUUAUGAUAGGCAAAUUAAAAAAAAAAUGCAUGAAAACAAUUUUAAAUGUUAAAUUGAAACUGCAAUACAAGGUUAAUUCUUACUUAAUGUAUUGGUUGAUGUGGCUGCCACAUAAUCAUGGUCCAGUUGGAUUGAAGAUAAAUCUUCUGUAUGCAUUAUUGUUGUUUGUUCAACUGAAAUAGUACAAUAAUUAUUUUUAAAAGUUCGUCUUAAAUUAUGAUAGGCAAAUUAAAAAAAAAUGUAUAAAAACAAUUUUAGUGUUAAAUUUAAACUGUAACAGAAGGUUAAUUCUUACUUAAUGUAUUGGUUGAUGUAGCUGCCACAUAAUCAUGGUCCAGUUGGAUUGAAGAUAAAUCUUCUGUUUGCAUUACUGUUGUUUGUUCAACUAAAAUAGUACAAUAAUUAUUUUAAAAAGUUCUUCUUAAAUUAUGAUGCAAAUUUAAAAAAAAAUGUAUAAAAACAAUUUUGAAGGUAAAUUAAAAGUUGAUGAAGCUGCCACAUAAUCAUGGUCCAUGUCCAUACUGGAUGAAGAUAAAUCUUUCCUUGGGCUUAAUGUUGUCCGCUUAACUGAAAUAGAUUUUAAAAAGUUGUUAAAUUAUUAUAGGCAAAUAAAAUAAAAUUGUAUAAAAACAAUUUUUAAAGUAAAUAAAAAGUAAAUUAAUUCAAUAUAACAGACUUAUUUACAGCUUUCUCCAUUGUUUAAUGGAGAAAACCAUCCUAGGGAUCGAAUAAUCUCGCAAUAAACGAUAAAACUUCACGUUUUGAAUGGAAUGUAACGCAAAUGAAUAGUAGAAAUUGAUCUUCGAAAUUAUUCCAUAGUAAACCCAAUGUUCGUGGAGAGUUAUCUUCUUCAACCGAAUGAAGAGACGAUUGCGACAAUAAUUCGCGAUGUAAAUAAUUAAGAGCUUUGGAGUUAUUAGAAACCCAUUUCCUUGCGGUAAAACAGCCAGCUUCUAAAACUUUGUUCAGCUGAAAAAUCAUUUCCUGAACUUCAUCGAUGUCGUUAACUCCUGAAAAUAUGUCAUCUACAUAAGUAUUUAAGCAAAGAAUCUCAGAACCCAUUGGAAUAUUUUGUGAAUUUUCGUUAAUGAGCUUCUAAUAGCUAAAUAUGGAGCACUAGAAAGGCCAUAAGUAACGGUGGAGAGCUGGAAUGUUUGAAUUGAAUGAGAGGGAUCUUCUCUCCACACGAUUUGUUGAAAAGGCUGAUCGUCUUUAUGAAUUUGAAUUUGCCUGUACAUUUUCUCCAAAUCACAUGCAAAGACAAUUGGAUAUCGUCUCCAACGAAGCAGAACAUCGACUAGUUCGUUUUGACGUUUUGGUCCGGUAGAUAAACAAUCAUUUUUGUUUUCUGGGAUCCAUUGAAUACAACUCUUAGUUUUGUCGUUGUGCUACUUUCUCGAAUUACACUAUGGUGUGGAAGAUAAUAAUGUAGUGAAUCGAAGGAGGGUGUAGAAACUGGGCGCAUAUGAUUUAGUACGAAAUUUUCGUUCAUGAAUUUAACGUAUUCCCUUUUAAAACUUUCAUUCUUCGCGAAACGUAAUUCUAAUUUACUGAACAUUCGAGAAGCAGCGGAAUAUGAAUUUCCCAAUUUUGCGGGCGAUGUACAGCAUGAAAGUCGGAUCAUGAAUCGUCCAUUGCUAUCUCGAGAAUGUGUGUUCACAAAAUGUUCUUCGCAUUUAUGUUCUUCAUGUGUAAGACGAGGUAAAAUCGAUGAAUUUUCUUCCUGUUUCCAAAAUUUUUGCAUGAGUUCAAGAAAUUCAUAAUCUAUAGAACAUUGGAAUCCAUAAUGCGAUAUCGAUUUGGAAGAUGAGGACAGAAUUCCUGAUAAUAUCCAUCCCAAAGAGGUUUUUUGAGCGAGUAAACAAUCAUCAUAACUUUUACGAAUUUCGUUUUGAAUGAUCUGAGAAUAGAUACUCACUCCGAGGAUCAAAUCAAUUGUCUUUGAUGAAGUAAAAUCUGGAUCAGCUAACAUAAUAUCACUAAAAUCGAAUUCUAGCGUUGUAGGACGUUUCGGUGGAAGGUAUGCGGUCAACUUUGGUAAAAUCAGUGCAUUUUCAGCAAAUGUAAGAGAUUCGUUAAUUCUUGAAAAUAAUUGAAUUUUCACAGUUCCAUUAGAAAUACUGGUCUGUUGAGAUCCGAUUCCAGCAAUAGGUAUACUUUGAGAAUGUCGAGAUAACUUCAAUUGUUGUACUAAGCUUUCAGAAAUGAACGAUACUUCAGACCCCUGGUCAAUGAGGCCCUUACGAGACGACGUUCGCCGAAAUGAGAAAUUAUUCCAACCAGAGAAUGAGAUGGCUGGAAGUUGAUGCGAUUGGCAUGCAAGGAGGAGUAUUUGCUUGAAGUGGAGUUGUAUGUUGAGUGUUCGAUUCUUUUUGAGAUGGUGAAUGGAUGGUACUCAUUGAUGGUUUAGCAUCAUGUAAGGAGGUAUGGUGUUGCUUUUGACAGAUUCGGCAUCUCUUAGUAAUUCUACAGUUUUUUCGAAAGUGUGGUCUAAGACAAUUGAAGCAGAGGUUCUUGGACGCAACAAAAUCUGAACGUUGAUUGGGAGAUUUUUUCAAGUAUUGUUGGCAUGAUGAGAUAUAAUGAGAAUCUUGACAAAGACUGCAGUUGUUGGACGAAGGUGACGCAUUAAGAGAUUUUACAUUUGAAGGUUUGUUGAACGUCGAAGUAUUCAUUUUACGAGUAGCUACUUGUUCUAUUGCUUCUACGGCAUGAAUUCGUCCCAAGAGAAAUGAUUUGAGAUCAUCAAAUGAAGGAGGAUUUUGCUUGUUGGCUAAAGAUUUUUCCCAGCCUUUGAUAGAUUCAACAUCAAGUUUUCGAACAACUAGAUAAACAAGAAUAUUAUCCUACUUGUCAAUGGGACAUCCUAACGUAUCUAAAGCGCCUAGAGACUUUUUAAUUUCCCCUAAUAGUCGCUUUAAUUCAACUGAAGAAUCGUUUUUUAACGGACGAGAUUUACUCCAAAUGUUCAAGGACACGAAAUAAAUGUACACGCGUAACGCACUCGAACGAUCGAAAUUCGAUUUAUCCGGCUCGAAGGACCAAUAAUUUAUGUUUAAGAAAUUGAAGUUUUGUAAGAAUUUGAAAAUUCACUUAAUUAAAUUAAUCGAAUGACAAUGAAUUGUUUGAAAUAAUUGAAUUAAAAGAAAAUUGUCUUACUUCCCAUUUGUUGAAACACUAUUAGAUUAUGUUUUACUUGAAGUUAAAACUGAAUAAGGAGAAGAAAUAAAACAUCUACAUUUGAGAGAAUCAAACCACGUUAUGUCUUCGAGACCACGAGACAAAACCUCUUUUUCAAAAAAAAAAAAAAAACAAAACCAAAGCGUUCGGUCGUUUACGGAAAAAUACGAAACUGAUUUGAAAUUAACAAAUAUCAAAAUGGAAUAAAAUAAAAUUGAAUGAAAAUUAAUAAACAUUUUGAACACUGUCCAAAGGGAAUUUUAUGAUAUUGCACGAUUUCCGUGUGUGAUUGGAGCAAUUGAUUGUACCUAUUUAAUCCCCAGGUGGAGCAUUUGCAGAAAAUUUUAAAAAUUGAAAAGGUUAUUUUUCCAUUAAUGUGCAAACUGUGUCGAAUGCCAAUAUGCGUAUUUUAGAUAUUGUAGCCAGGUGGCCAGGAUCAACGCAUGAUCAAACAAUUUUUAAUAAUAGUUGCCUUAAACACCGUUUAGAAAUUGGCCAGUUUAUUUUUAUUAGAAGAUGGUGGAUACCAAAACAAGAAUUAUUUGUUUGUACCGAUAGACCAACCACAGCGGGAAGCGGAAAGACUCUACAAUGAGUCUCAAAUUAGAACGAGAAAUGUUGUUGAAUGCCAAUAUGGCACAUAGAAAAGAAGAUUCCAAGUGCUGCGGUGGGAAUUAAGAAUUUCAGUUGAAAGGUGCACCAUUUCCUUAUACUGAAAUAAUCGUUCAUGUAUAUUGCUAAGAUAAAAAGAUGUUUAGGUUAACGAUGAUAUAAUUUUAUUAUUCGCAAUUGGUGCUACAAAUGUUUCGACAGCCUAGCUGUCUUCUUCAGGCACGACUAAAACCGUAAAGAAAAGAAAAGGUCAGUGAUGAACAUAAAACUAAAGUAAAAUAAAGGAACAUUACCGUCAGAAAUGUGGGGACCUUGUGAGAUCUACAUGUAGGCAAUGUUAUACAGUUUCCUUAAACUCUUUACAGUCAAAUGACAACAAAAUGGUUAACAUGUAUCGGGUUAUACUUUUAGAACUGCAUGGAAACAAGAUUUAUAUCAGUCUCAUCCACGAGAAAAGGUCAAUUUUUCAAACCAAGUUCUUAAACAAAGAUAAAACGAAAAAUCAAAAUUAAAAUUAAAGGGCAAACAACAAAAACUUACAAAUUUC
RNAcentral lists this long non-coding RNA (4517 nucleotides) under Onthophagus taurus. Its description in RNAcentral is "uncharacterized LOC111418137, transcript variant X2". Lineage: Eukaryota; Metazoa; Arthropoda; Insecta; Coleoptera; Scarabaeidae. The record is from RNAcentral.